UGGCUCAGUGGCAGAGCGCUUGCCUUGCAUGCAUGAGGCCCUGGGUUCGAUUCCCCAG
Molecule: transfer RNA, 58 nt
Filed under: Dipodomys ordii (Ord's kangaroo rat)
Lineage: Eukaryota; Metazoa; Chordata; Mammalia; Rodentia; Heteromyidae
Rfam family: tRNA
About the family: Transfer RNA (tRNA) molecules are approximately 80 nucleotides in length. Their secondary structure includes four short double-helical elements and three loops (D, anti-codon, and T loops).
Source: Rfam by way of RNAcentral